This 506-nucleotide ribosomal RNA is filed under the name uncultured bacterium. RNAcentral's name for it is "partial 16S ribosomal RNA". It matches the Rfam family "Bacterial small subunit ribosomal RNA", at positions 29 to 523 of the family's 1533-position model. The record is from RNAcentral.
AGUGAACGCUGGCGGUAGGCCUAACACAUGCAAGUCGAACGGCAGCACAGAGGAGCUUGCUCCUUGGGUGGCGGGUGGCGGACGGGUGAGGAAUACAUCGGAAUCUACUCUGUCGUGGGGGAUAACGUAGGGAAACUUACGCUAAUACCGCAUACGACCUACGGGUGAAGGCAGGGGAUCCUCGGACCUUGCGCGAUUGAAUGAGCCGAUGUCGGAUUAGCUAGUUGGCGGGGUAAAGGCCCACCAAGGCGACGAUCCGUAGCUGGUCUGAGAGGAUGAUCAGCCACACUGGAACUGAGACACGGUCCAGACUCCUACGGGAGGCAGCAGUGGGGAAUAUUGGACAAUGGGCGCAAGCCUGAUCCAGCCAUACCGCGUGGGUGAAGAAGGCCUUCGGGUUGUAAAGCCCUUUUGUUGGGAAAGAAAUCCAUCUGGUUAAUACCCGGGUGGGAUGACGGUACCCAAAGAAUAAGCACCGGCUAACUUCGUGCCAGCCGCCGCAGUAA